Molecule: ribosomal RNA, 468 nt
Filed under: uncultured bacterium
Lineage: Bacteria
Description: partial 16S ribosomal RNA
Rfam family: Bacterial small subunit ribosomal RNA
Source: RNAcentral
GACGAACGCUGGCGGCGUGCUUAACACAUGCAAGUCGAACGGAAAGGCCCUGCCUUUGUGGGGUGCUCGAGUGGCGAACGGGUGAGUAACACGUGAGUAACCUGCCCUGGACUUUGGGAUAACUUCAGGAAACUGGGGCUAAUACCGGAUAGGAGCUCCUGCUGCAUGGCGGGGGUGGGAAAGUUUCGGCGGUUGGGGAUGGACUGGCGGCUUAGCGGGUUGUUGGUGGGGUAGUGGCUUACCAAGGCUUUGACGGGUAGCCGGCCUGAGAGGGUGACCGGCCACAUUGGGACUGGGAUACGGCCCAGACUCCUCCGGGGGGCAGCAGUGGGGAAUAUUGCACAAUGGGCGGAAGCCGGAUGCAGCAACGCCGCGGGCGGGAUGACGGCCUUCGGUUUUUAAACCGCUUUCGCCUGUGACGAAGCGUGAGUGACGGUAAUGGGUAAAGAAGCACCGGCUAACUACGUG